Molecule: ribosomal RNA, 585 nt
Filed under: uncultured bacterium
Lineage: Bacteria
Description: partial 16S ribosomal RNA
Rfam family: Bacterial small subunit ribosomal RNA
Source: RNAcentral
UGGGGAAUUUUGGACAAUGGGCGAAAGCCCGAUCCAGCAAUGCCGCGUGUGUGAAGAAGGCCUUCGGGUUGUAAAGCACUUUUGUCCGGAAAGAAAUCCUUGGCUCUAAUACAGUCGGGGGAUGACGGUACCGGAAGAAUAAGCACCGGCUAACUACGUGCCAGCAGCCGCGGUAAUACGUAGGGUGCAAGCGUUAAUCGGAAUUACUGGGCGUAAAGCGUGCGCAGGCGGUUUGCUAAGACCGAUGUGAAAUCCCCGGGCUCAACCUGGGAACUGCAUUGGUGACUGGCAGGCUAGAGUAUGGCAGAGGGGGGUAGAAUUCCACGUGUAGCAGUGAAAUGCGUAGAGAUGUGGAGGAAUACCGAUGGCGAAGGCAGCCCCCUGGGCCAAUACUGACGCUCAUGCACGAAAGCGUGGGGAGCAAACAGGAUUAGAUACCCUGGUAGUCCACGCCCUAAACGAUGUCAACUAGUUGUUGGGGAUUCAUUUCCUUAGUAACGUAGCUAACGCGUGAAGUUGACCGCCUGGGGAGUACGGUCGCAAGAUUAAAACUCAAAUGAAUUGACGGGGUCAUAGCUGUUUCCU